AUUGAACGCUGGCGGCAGGCUUAACACAUGCAAGUCGAGCGGGGUGAUGGUGCUUGCACUAUCACUUAGCGGCGGACGGGUGAGUAAUGCUUAGGAAUCUGCCUAUUAGUGGGGGACAACAUCUCGAAAGGGAUGCUAAUACCGCAUACGUCCUACGGGAGAAAGCAGGGGAUCACUUGUGACCUUGCGCUAAUAGAUGAGCCUAAGUCGGAUUGGCUAGUUGGUGGGGGAAAGGCCUAGCAAGGCGACGAUCUGUAGCGGGUCUGAGAGGAUGAUCCGCCACACUGGGACUGAGACACGGCGCAGACUACUACGGGAGGCAGAAGUGGGGAAUAGUGGACAAUGGGGGGAACCCUGAUCCAGAUAUGCCGCAUGUGUGAAGAAGGCCUUAUGGUUGUAAAGCACGUUAAGCGAGGAGGAGGCUCUUUUGGUUAAUACCCAAGAUGAGUGGACGUUACUCGCAGAAUAAGCACCGGCUAACUCUGUGUCAGCCGCCGCAGUAA
This 503-nucleotide ribosomal RNA is filed under the name uncultured bacterium. Its description in RNAcentral is "partial 16S ribosomal RNA". It matches the Rfam family "Bacterial small subunit ribosomal RNA", at positions 30 to 523 of the family's 1533-position model. The record is from RNAcentral.